RNAcentral lists this ribosomal RNA (468 nucleotides) under uncultured bacterium. RNAcentral describes it as "partial 16S ribosomal RNA". It matches the Rfam family "Bacterial small subunit ribosomal RNA", at positions 28 to 507 of the family's 1533-position model. The record is from RNAcentral.
GAUGAACGCUGGCGGCGUGCUUAACACAUGCAAGUCGAACGGAAAGGCCCAAGCUUGCUUGGGUACUCGAGUGGCGAACGGGUGAGUAACACGUGGGUGAUCUGCCCUGCACUUCGGGAUAAGCCUGGGAAACUGGGUCUAAUACCGGAUAGGACGAUGGUUUGGAUGCCAUUGUGGAAAGUUUUUUCGGUGUGGGAUGAGCUCGCGGCCUAUCAGCUUGUUGGUGGGGUAAUGGCCUACCAAGGCGUCGACGGGUAGCCGGCCUGAGAGGGUGUACGGCCACAUUGGGACUGAGAUACGGCCCAGACUCCUACGGGAGGCAGCAGUGGGGAAUAUUGCACAAUGGGCGCAAGCCUGAUGCAGCGACGCCGCGUGGGGGAUGACGGCCUUCGGGUUGUAAACUCCUUUCGCUAGGGACGAAGCGUUUUUGUGACGGUACCAGGAGAAGAAGCACCGGCUAACUACGUG